This 73-nucleotide transfer RNA is filed under the name Coemansia erecta. It matches the Rfam family "tRNA". Rfam says of the family: Transfer RNA (tRNA) molecules are approximately 80 nucleotides in length. Lineage: Eukaryota; Fungi; Kickxellomycota; Kickxellomycetes; Kickxellales; Kickxellaceae. The record is from Rfam by way of RNAcentral. RNAcentral also lists the same sequence under 2 other names.
ACACUCUUAACUUAAUUGGUUAAAGUAAUAAUCUUCGAAAUUAUUAAUAUGGGUUCAAUUCCCAUAGAGUGUU